Molecule: long non-coding RNA, 1611 nt
Organism: Oncorhynchus mykiss (rainbow trout)
Lineage: Eukaryota; Metazoa; Chordata; Actinopteri; Salmoniformes; Salmonidae
Source: Ensembl
GGUCUGUAUUACAGAGGUGGGUUACCAAUAGAAUGUCUGUAUUAUAGAGGUGGGUUACCAAUAGAAGGUCUGUAUUGUAGAGGUGGGUUAAUACCAAUAGAAGAUCUGUAUUGUAGAGGUGGGUUAAUACCAAUAGAAGGUCUGUAUUAUAGAGGUGGGUUACCAAUAGAAGGUCUGUAUUGUAGAGGUGGGUUAAUACCAAUAGAAGGUCUGUAUUGUAGAGGUGGGUUACCAAUAGAAGGUCUCUAUUAUAGAGGUGGGUUACCAAUAGAAGGUCUGUAUUAUAGAGGUGGGUUACCAAUAGAAGGUCUGUAUUAUAGAGGUGGGUUAAUACCAAUAGAAGGUCUGUAUUGUAGAGGUGGGUUAAUACCAAUAGAAGGUCUGUAUUGUAGAGGUGGGUUAAUACCAAUAGAAGGUCUGUAUUGUAGAGGUGGGUUACCAAUAGAAGGUCUGUAUUGUAGAGGUGGGUUAAUAACAAUAGAAUGUCUGUAUUAUAGAGGUGGGUUAAUACCAAUAGAAGGUCUGUAUUGUAGAGGUGGGUUACCAAUAGAAGGUCUGUAUUGUAGAGGUGGGUUAAUAACAAUAGAAGGUCUGUAUUGUAGAGGUGGGUUAAUAACAAUAGAAGGUCUGUAUUAUAGAGGUGGGUUACCAAUAGAAGGUCUGUAUUAUAGAGGUGGGUUACCAAUAGAUGUUCUGUAUUGUAGAGGUGGGUUACCAAUAGAAGGUCUGUAUUAUAGAGGUGGGUUACCAAUAGAAGGUCUGUAUUGUAGAGGUGGGUUACCAAUAGAAGGUCUGUAUUAUAGAGGUGGGUUACCAAUAGAAGGUCUGUAUUAUAGAGGUGGGUUACCAAUAGAAGGUCUGUAUUAUAGAGGUGGGUUACCAAUAGAAGGUCUGUAUUGUAGAGGUGGGUUACCAAUAGAAGGUCUGUAUUGUAGAGGUGGGUUACCAAUAGAAGGUCUGUAUUGUAGAGGUGGGUUACCAAUAGAAGGUCUAUAUUAUAGAGGUGGGUUACCAAUAGAAGGUCUGUAUUGUAGAGGUGGGUUACCAAUAGAAGGUCUGUAUUGUAGAGGUGGGUUACCAAUAGAAGGUCUGUAUUAUAGAGGUGGGUUACCAAUAGAAGGUCUGUAUUGUAGAGGUGGGUUAAUGCCAAUAGAAGAUCUGUAUUGUAGAGGUGGGUUACCAAUAGAAGGUCUGUAUUAUAGAGGUGGGUUACCAAUAGAAGGUCUGUAUUGUAGAGGUGGGUUACCAAUAGAAGGUCUGUAUUAUAGAGGUGGGUUACCAAUAGAAGGUCUGUAUUAUAGAGGUGGGUUACCAAUAGAAGGUCUCUCACAUGCCUCUGUCACUGUCAUUACAUGGCCCCCUGUGUUUGUGUGUCUGUGUGUGUUGUUCCUCUCUGUUUACCUAUUACCAUGGCUGCCAUUUUUGUGUGUGUGUGUGUGUGUGUGUGUGUGUGUGUGUGUGUGUGUGUGUGUGUGUGUGUGUGUGUGUGUGUGUGUGUGUGUGUGUUUUAAGGAGGCUUUGACACAAGCUGACUGGAGAUUAUGCCAAGAUUAUGGUGCUGUUGCGGAGAGAUGUAGAGAGGGAGAGAGAUGUAGAUGGGGAGAGAUGUAG